AAUUGAAUAUGACCAUUCGGUGUAUUUUACAUAACAGGGAAUUAAGUUACAUUCUUAAGCUGUCCCAGCAACCGUGAAACGGACGAAAUGCAAAUAAGCCACUGCCAAAAGCGGGAAGGUGCAAAGUAGGAUGAUGUUAAGCCGGGAGACCUACCGAAAAAGUCAAAUCAAG
Non-coding RNA from Tenericutes bacterium GWD2_38_27, 172 nucleotides. The record is from Rfam. NCBI's taxonomy places the organism in Bacteria, Bacillati, Mycoplasmatota.